Non-coding RNA from Opitutaceae bacterium BACL24 MAG-120322-bin51, 98 nucleotides. NCBI's taxonomy places the organism in Bacteria, Pseudomonadati, Verrucomicrobiota, Opitutia, Opitutales, Opitutaceae. The record is from Rfam.
GGCCGGGUCCUAUGCAAUGUUGGACAGGUUGACCUCGUCAGAUCCGGAAGGAAGCAGCGAACACCUAAUCCUCAUGUGCCGUAGGGUGCCUGGCCACU